GAGUGGCGAACUGGUGAGUAACACGUGGGUAACCUGCCCUUGAAGUAGGGGAUAACACUUGGAAACAGGUGCUAAUACCGUAUAACAACCAAAACCACCUGGUUUUGGUUUAAAAGAUGGCUUCGGCUAUCACUUUAGGAUGGACCCGCGGCGUAUUAGCUUGUUGGUAAGGUAACGGCCUACCAAGGCAAUGAUACGUAGCCGACCUGAGAGGGUAAUCGGCCACAUUGGGACUGAGACACGGCCCAAACUCCUACGGGAGGCAGCAGUAGGGAAUCUUCCACAAUGGACGAAAGUCUGAUGGAGCAACGCCGCGUGAGUGAUGAAGGGUUUCGGCUCGUAAAACUCUGUUGUUGGAGAAGAACAGGUGUGAGAGUAACUGUUCACAUCUUGACGGUAUCCAACCAGAAAGCCACGGCUAACUACGUGCCAGCAGCCGCGGUAAUACGUAGGUGGCAAGCGUUGUCCGGAUUUAUUGGGCGUAAAGCGAGCGCAGGCGGUUUCUUAGGUCUGAUGUGAAAGCCUUCGGCUUAACCGGAGAAGUGCAUCGGAAACCAGGAGACUUGAGUGCAGAAGAGGACAGUGGAACUCCAUGUGUAGCGGUGAAAUGCGUAGAUAUAUGGAAGAACACCAGUGGCGAAGGCGGCUGUCUGGUCUGUAACUGACGCUGAGGCUCGAAAGCAUGGGUAGCGAACAGGAU
Molecule: ribosomal RNA, 700 nt
Filed under: uncultured bacterium
Lineage: Bacteria
Description: bacterial SSU rRNA
Rfam family: Bacterial small subunit ribosomal RNA
Source: RNAcentral